Molecule: long non-coding RNA, 262 nt
Filed under: Elaeis guineensis (African oil palm)
Lineage: Eukaryota; Viridiplantae; Streptophyta; Magnoliopsida; Arecales; Arecaceae
Description: long non-coding RNA (EGUI_LNC059240)
Source: RNAcentral
GCACCAUUAAGAAGAUCUGGUAGAGUACUAUGUCCGUCGGAUAGAUACUUCGGUAUCUAGGUCCAGGAUGUGAUUCUGUUGAACUCAAUAAGAAUAACAAGGAUCUAAUCACCUACAUAGAUGUCAUGUAGAGGUCUGACUCUGAUUAGUAGCUUAGAGCCAUAAAGUCUAAAAUUGAGUCCAUGAAGGUCAAUGGUGUAUGGACACUUGUUGAUCCACUCGAAGGGAUAAAACCCAUAGGAUGUAAGUAGAUCUUCAAUAG